This 465-nucleotide ribosomal RNA is filed under the name uncultured bacterium. RNAcentral's name for it is "partial 16S ribosomal RNA". It matches the Rfam family "Bacterial small subunit ribosomal RNA", at positions 28 to 507 of the family's 1533-position model. The record is from RNAcentral.
GUCGAACGCUGGCGGCGUGCUUAACACAUGCAAGUCGAACGGAAAGGCCCUGCUUGCAGGGUACUCGAGUGGCGAACGGGUGAGUAACACGUGGGUGAUCUGCCCUGCACUUCGGGAUAAGCCUGGGAAACUGGGUCUAAUACCGGAUAGGAGCCAUUUUUAGUGUGAUGGUUGGAAAGUUUUUUCGGUGUAGGAUGAGCUCGCGGCCUAUCAGCUUGUUGGUGGGGUAAUGGCCUACCAAGGCGGCGACGGGUAGCCGGCCUGAGAGGGUGGACGGCCACAUUGGGACUGAGAUACGGCCCAGACUCCUACGGGAGGCAGCAGUGGGGAAUAUUGCACAAUGGGCGCAAGCCUGAUGCAGCGACGCCGCGUGGGGGAUGACGGCCUUCGGGUUGUAAACUCCUUUCGCUAGGGACGAAGCUUUUUGUGACGGUACCUAGAUAAGAAGCACCGGCUAACUACGUG